CCGGCCUUGGCUUUCCCCAAUGACAGACAAUGACCUGCAAGCCAAGUAAAACCAUUUCCUCCCUGAAUCGUUUUAAGUCAAUGUGUUUUAUCACAUGGGGGAAAAAAAAACUAAUACAACUGGGAUAUGAGAUGAAUAGCUGUUGGUUCUUCUGUUUCAUUUCUGUAUUUAAAGCUAGCUGAGACGGGUUGAGGAGGGAGAGAGAGUAUAAUAACUUCAUUUUCAUAGCUAUCGAUAAGGACUCAUGGGGAUGUUGUUUGUCAAACUCAGACUCUGUAAACACUGUCACUGUGGAUGACCUACGUUUCAGCUGUGGUGAGUGAUGGAGGAAGAUUCUGAAUGAGACCAUGUCCUGACACAGCCCAUCAUUGUGAUUAUCUGCCUUCCUUCAAAAGUUUAUACAUAUUUAAAGCAUGCACAAAAUAUUUUCCAUCUAUAUGUAAAAUAGAGUUAUGGUUUGAAUAUGAAAUGUUCGCCCAGGUUCAUAUGCUGACUGUUUGUCACCUCACCACAGCUGGUUGUGCUGUGUGGGAAGAUUCUGGAAACUUUAAGAGCUGGGACCAAACCAGAAGAAGUGGGUCGUCACUGAGAGCGUGCCUCAUAAAGUUCUGCCUGGUGUCUUGUUCUUUCCACGCUCUGCUUCCCGUCCUCCAGGAGAGCAGACUCCUCCCCUGUAUCCUUUCACUACCAUGAUGCUCUGCCUGAACACGUGGAGUUGAGGCACAGCAAGCUAAGACCUCUGAAAUCGUGAGCCAAAGCUUCUUGGUUAUUUGACCAAAGGGAUAUCAAGUAAACUGGUGCCAGAAAAACAGGAUUGUUACUCUGGUUAAAUAUGAUUAUGUGGUUCUUUAGCCUCUAGAACUAGUUUGUGGGAGGGUUUCAGGUGAGUUGGGAGAUAAAGGUUAGUGAAGCUCUAAAAAGGCUAUGAUCAGAGCUUAAUGGGAAGUUCUCGUCAGUGCUGAAGACCAGAAAGGUCUCCGAAUGCAGACAGCGAAGGCUAGUAUCACAAAGUUUCAAGUGGAAACAAGGUUUUUAUCCAAAAUUGGACUAGAGACCACUGUAUUUGUUGUAUGCAAGAAAGUCAUUUGUCGCAUGUUUCCACACCCAGAGAUGAAGACUUUAAGUUGACUUGCUUUUAAAAGAGAUGAAGUGUGGGGCUGAAGGGCUGGCUCAGCAGUUAAUUGCAUAUUCUGCUCUUCCGGAGGACCUGAGUUCAGUUCCCAGCACCCAUGGCAAGUGGCUCACAAUUGCCUAGAACUCUAGCUCCAGGGGAUCCAAUCCCCCUUCUGGUCUCUAGGUGUCUGAGCAUAUAUUUAAUAGCCACACACAGACACGCAACAAGGACAUAUAAUUAAAAAUAAAAUAAAUCUUAAAGA
RNAcentral lists this long non-coding RNA (1376 nucleotides) under Rattus norvegicus (Norway rat). RNAcentral's name for it is "long non-coding RNA NONRATT001284". Lineage: Eukaryota; Metazoa; Chordata; Mammalia; Rodentia; Muridae. The record is from RNAcentral.